This 1569-nucleotide unclassified non-coding RNA is filed under the name Schistocerca americana (American grasshopper). RNAcentral's name for it is "acidic mammalian chitinase-like, transcript variant X3". The record is from RNAcentral. Lineage: Eukaryota; Metazoa; Arthropoda; Insecta; Orthoptera; Acrididae.
GUUUGUAAAUGGACGUAGAUCUAAUGUUAUUAAUGUGAUAGAAAAGUAACCUAAAGUGUAGCACGAUGAAUAUACGUGUAAAACAACCAGUAAUUAUUGGAAACUGUUAUAGAGGGCAACCUAAUCGACUAUGGGAGGUUUUUAUUUUGAAGUGGUUCCUGGUAGCUGUCGCCUGCCUUAUUGCCGCAGGUGCUGUAACAGUAUACUUGGCACACUACUUCAUGAAGACAUGCUAUACAUCAACCAAUGUCACUGGCGUAACGGCACAACACAGUGAUCUGAAUACAUACAAGGGCCAAUUACAAGACAUGGGAAAUGGUUACUCAUUAUUUAAACAAGAAGAUAUGACACAAAUAUGCAAAACUGAUGGAUUGACUGGCAGCCAACAAAUGAGAAAACAUAGUACAAAGCUUGUGUGUUAUUAUACAUUUCCAGGACCAGGUGGUUUGGUGCCAGACAAAAUCGAUCCUUUUCUUUGCACUCACAUUAACAUUGCAGGAGUUGGUAUAAAUAAUAGCAAGCUGGAACCACUUAGUGAAGAAAGACAAGAAGUCAUUAAGUCUCUUGUUGGUCUCAAAAUUCGUAACAAAAAUCUUAAAGUUAUCCUGUCUGUGAUUGGUAUGCCAGGUGGAUUUGGAGAUAUGGUUUCAAAGUCAUCAUCCAGGAGAAUGUUCAUCAAAGAUUUGUUGUGGACACUGUCAUACUAUUCAUUCGAUGGUGUUGAUUUUGACUGGGAAUUCCCCGCUUGGCCUGGUAAAAUUUCAGAACGCAAAAAAUUUAUUAUUUUUUUGAAGGAGCUGCGAGAUGCAGUUCGGAAAAGUCAACUAAACACUAUUGUGAGUGUAGCUGUCGCAGCACAAGAGACGAUUGUGGAUGUUUCAUAUGAUAUUCCUGAAAUGAACAAAUACAUUGAUUACGUAAAUCUCAUGGCAUAUGACUACCACUUUUAUACUGAGUAUACCCCAUUGACUGGGCCUAAUGCUCCAUUAUAUAGCCUUCCAAGUGACAAAGGUUACAUGUCCACACUCAACACAAAUUGGUCUUCACUUUACUGGCAUGAUAGAGGCAUGCCUAAGAACAAGAUCGUCAUUGGAAUACCAACUUAUGGCCAUUCCUUCUGGCUCAUUAAUGCUGAGAAUCAUGGUUGGUCAGCUCCUGCUUCAGGAUAUGGAAAAAUUGGAAGUAAAGGAUUUGUAAGCUAUCCAGAAGUGUGUCAGUUCCUUCAUUCCACUGGAAGUAAAUACAUUUUUGAUAAAAAUUUUGAAGUGCCCUAUGCUUACCAGGGUUUGGAGUGGAUUUCGUAUGAUGAUGAAUGCAGUGUAAUGUACAAGGGCCAUUCUGCUAAAUGGGGAAGAACUGCAGAAAAUGAUCCCUGAGGAGACAAGGAGCAAAAGAGGUCAUAUGAAUAUAUGGCUGGAAAUGCAUGGUGUCUGCACUGUAAGGCAAAGUAUAUCGCCAGUGGCUCUUAUGGAGGAGCAAUGGUAUUUUCUCUCAAUGUAGACGACCAUCAAGGUGUGUGUGCUGGUACAACAUUCUUGCUGACAACACAGAUAAGGAAUAUUCUAGGAG